Molecule: long non-coding RNA, 6124 nt
Filed under: Homo sapiens (human)
Lineage: Eukaryota; Metazoa; Chordata; Mammalia; Primates; Hominidae
Description: HSALNT0253205
Source: RNAcentral
GCACCCUGCAGGGCCGGGGGAGUGGGGAUGAGGGGCGCAGUGAGGAACGAAUGGGGAGCCGCCCGGGCCGAGGCCAGGUGCCCUUCCGGUCAGUCCUCCAGGAGCUGGUUGACUUCUCAGCAUCCUGAUUCUUUGGAAAGACAGUUUAAAAAGUUGUUUAGUUUCCUAGGACAUUCUCGCUGCGACUGUUGAAAGUCGGACAGCACCCGCCUUGUGCUCACCCCGCCGGGAUACACGGGGACGGUUCCUUUCCAAGGAGGCCCGGGGCCGCCUCUGCGCCGGGACAGCCUGGGAAGCCGCGCAGGCCUGGCCGACUUCCCCUUCCCAGCCCCGCUGCGCCCUGCGGGGCCCUGUCGGCGGUGGGGGCUGCGGACCCGGGAGCGCGCGGCCGCGCUGCACGUGCAGGGACCGGUAGGCGCCGGGGUCAGCGCCAGCGUUUGAUGUGCGGCGGGGAGCGGGCCGAGCCCCGGGAGGCCGCUUCGCACCUCCCAGUGUGUCCGGGUUGAGCGCGAGGUCAGGAGGGGACGCAGAGUUCACGGCGAAGACGGAUCGCGGGGGCUCGUCCCGCCCGGGUUGCGCGCAGCGGGGGCCGCGUGAUGGAUGGGCCGGGCCGGGCACCCGGGAACCCGCGAGCGCGGGGCUGGGCUCUGGGCUGCGUCCGGGGGCCCCGACUUGGUUAUUGAUCGGCCCAAGCGCAGGAGAACUGACUCUAUAAUGCAUCGCCUGACCAGGAAAAGUGUUUGCUUUUGUGGGAGCAAAAGACAACUUUCUGCCCCGCCAGAGCGUUGCUAAGUGAGCGGUAAUGACCACGCUAGAAAUUUCAUAGGGAGAGGCUAAUGGCAGGCUGACUCUAAAAGUGCUUUUAAGUGCAACUUCUGUCUAAUCCCUUGAGGGGGAAGAAAACAUCGGCGACUAAGAAAGUUCAAGUUGUACAGGACCCGGGUUUUUGGGGUCGGGGUCACUUCUGCUCUGCGUGACUUUGAAGAGGAAGACCUGCGGUUUUUUCCAGUGGAUUUUCACACGUGUUUUAAAGAGAACUCCCGGCUCCUGAAAUGAAAGGCCCGCCUGUAGGGUUUUGCUGCCUCCCCUCUGCCCACGCCCCACCCCCACAGCCUGGAUCAAAGCGAUCAGACAAAUUAUUCAGAAGUAACACAGCCCUGAAAUGUUCCUAAACGUGACUAUUUGAGGCGAUGAAUCAAGCGUGUUCCCUCCGCCCCCAACCCACCCCCAGACCGAAAAUGUGACUCUGGAAACGGACUUGCAGAGCUGGCUUCGGUUUAUAUGCGGUUCUGACCCCUGUUGACUUUAGGACAAGCCUUCCUGUUUCCAGUACUGCAGCAUCGCCAGACAGCCUCGCCAUGCAAUCGGCUUUCCAGAUACGAUUUCACUCCUCACCAAAGACACUUCUUUAGGGCGAUUUUAGGAUUCUAUCAACGCUAGUAAAGGAACUACUUAAACACGUUGAUUUGUAUCGCCUUCCCUGACUAUGAAACAUUGAAGUGGAAUACUACUCAUCAAUAAAAAAAAUAUAAACUCCUGAUACACCUCAUGGAUGGAUGCAUAGAUGGAUGGAUGGAUCUGAAAAACAUCGUGCUGAAUAAAAGAAGCCAGACAUGAAAGAGCUGCCACUACCAGGAGCACGCUGGCCUGCCGGCGGGAGGAACAGAUGCCAGAGGAGACCUGACUGUGUCCUCAAGGCCAUGCCCCAUCAGCCAUCCCAGCAGAGCCCACAGCCACCCACAGAGGAAUGAGGAUCCCCAUCCAGGAUCACCGGAACUGCACAACUGACUCACAAACGUGUGAAGAGUAAUGGGUAACGUGUUGAACUGUGAGCCUUUGAGCCUGGGGAGGUUUGUGAUGCAGCAGUAGCUCCCAGACCCUUGAGGCUCUUCGGCACGAAGGUGCUGAGCCAUGCACCUAUGCAAAGCCAAACUCUGCACUAGGCCUACUGGGGUGUGCAGAGAGAGAGGGCUGAACAAACUGCGGUUCCACCCAGAAGACCCAGAAGAACAUUUACGGAGGAGUCAGUGCAAGAGGCGAGAGAGCAUGCGUGAAGAGGCUCGUUCUUGUGGUGUAGAAAAGGAGGCCAGAGUCUCCCAGACCACGAUUCUUUUCCUUUAGGUGUUUCUUGGGCAUUUUCAAUCUUAAAUCUCUUCCCAUGUUAUUGAGAUUUCUGAUUGAAUGUCCCCAUUUUCCCUCAGACAGCAGGCCGUGUGUGAGUCACCACCUCCAUCUUUCUAUGUCCUGGGUGUGGGCCCAGUGAAGGACAGUUAUGGAAAUUUAGAGAGAAGAGGUCGCAGGUGUGGUGGGGGUGGUGAAGCUUCAGAAGAGAAAAGAAGCAUGGUGGAGAGGGUGGACUCUGGAGGCUACUGCAGAGCUCUCCCCCAGGCUAUGAGGGGGCAUGAUGGUCCCAAUAGCCUGAGUCUGUGUUCAUUUCAACUGGCUACCUUGUGACGAGGAAGAUGGCCCAGGUUCCCAGUGGGAAAUCUAUGGUUAUCAUUAAGAACGCAGGGCCUGAGAUGAAACCUGGCAGGUGAAAGGCACCUGGUUUUAUGCAACCUGGUUUUGCAGAAGCCUGUGGGAGGGGGCCCAGGGGGGAAGGGAGCAGAGGGCAGUGUUGGCUCUGGUUCCCCCACCAGGCAGGUGGGCUAGCACCUGGGUAAGGGGCUUUGCAUCUGGAGCUGGUCAUGCCUCAGUCCAGAUCCUGCCUUUAUCAGUUGAUGGGCUGUUACCUGCCAGUGGUUAUGGUGAGGACUAAAUUACGGAAAGUCAUCAAGGAUCUUCAUUCAUUGCCCACCACAGAGCAGGCACUCAAUGGAGAACACUCACCACCAUCUAUGUUGUUAAUGUUGCAUCUGCAGCCCUUGGUUUCCUGGAAAGACUCUACAGUACAGGGGCAGGUUAGGGGCCACAACCAGGAAACAAGACACAUCUGAGAGAAUGCAUGGGAGCUUAUGGAAGGAUGUACAAGGCUGGGUGUGGGAAUCCCGGCACUUCGGGAGGCUAAGGUGGAAGGAUCACUUGCAUCCAGGAUUCAAGCCUAGCCUGGCCACGUAGUGAGACCCCAGCUCUACAAAAAAUCAAAAAUCAACUGGGCAUGGUGGCAUGUGCCUCUAAUCCAAGCUACUCAGGAAGCAGAGAUGGGAGGAUCGCUUGAGCCCAGGAGGUUGAGGCUGCAGUGAGCUGAGAUCAUACCACUGCACUCAUUCUGGGCAACAGAGUGAAACCCUGUCUCAAAAAUAUAAAUAAAUAAAUAAAUAAAUAAAUAAAUAAAGAAAGAAAGAAAGAAAGAAAGAAUUUACAAGAGGGGAGUUUUAGUGGUUGAAAAAUCAUUCACUCAUUCCAGGAGCAAGAGCCUUGUGGGUUUUCUUCCUGUUCUUGCCUGGGUUAUCUCUACUGAACCAAAGAAUCCUUGUUAGGAAUGCUCUGGUGGUGUCAAUCAAUGCGUUUAUAAAUCAUUUGCUUUUACCAUGGAAAAAGAUAUCACAAAACAACACAGCUGUAGUGCAGGUGCAGAUGACCAUGGAACGGCAGCCUGGCGUUUUCAGUAGAGCACUGGGCAGCAGAGUCCCUGGGCCUCGGAACCCCGGCCUGUUACCACCCAACACCAUCCCUGGGCAAAAUGCGAAACUCCCAUCAGAUCCAUGAAUGGAAAAUGGGCGUAAUUAUAAUUGCACCCCACUCUCUACCUCUCAGCUAAGGUGAGAAAUGAAUAUGAGGAUGCUCAGUGAAAAUGCUUUGAAGUCUGUGAAAUGCGAAGCAAAUGUGAAGCGAGAGGAAUAAUAAGGUUCUAAGGACCCACACUUGGGCGUUUGCUCUGAGCUGGCCCCUGUCCUCCACACUGAACCUACAGCCUCUCCUCUCACCUAAUCUGCACAAAAAUCUUACGAAGCAGACACACUUACCAUGCUGGCCUUUCCGUGAAAUUUCAGGUCUUAGUGUCGCCCAUUACUGGUGGCAUUUCAUGCCACAAGUUGGGCCAUCUGCACCUCCAAGCACAGGGUCACAGAAGACUUUAUCCCGUCCCUUGGGCUGACUGAAUGGUUGGUUUGUGUCAACCCCUGUUGUCCCUUUGAGCAACUCGGGGGCAAUGGUUAUGGGUAGGGCUUAAAAAACCGUCUGGCUGCAAACCCAGUGCUGAUACGAACAAGGCCUAGUCAGGCACUAAGUGUUUUGUGUUCCCCAAAGAGAUCUUAAUGAAAUCCCAGCAUGCCACUCACUCCUACACUUAAAAUACCUUUUAAGUGUAGGAAAGAAAGUGCUUUCAACCCCACCCCAGCCAUUUGGAUUCGGAGACUCCAUUUAAGAUGCACAGCUUUCCUCCAGCACAGGGGCUGGGUAUCCAAACGCAGAGCCUCCCCCAGACUCUCUCUAGGCUUAGCCUGGCUUGGUGGGCUCAGGAGGGAUUCAAGAUUAUUUCAUCCUUUAUGUCCAUUCGAUGACAGUUUAUCAUCAUUGCCACCUCAUACUCUAUUGUAGCCAAACAUCAUAACCAGCACCAUGUGAACUACGUCACUGACGCCACAUUCUUUUUCUCGGCUGUCACUAGGCUCAGGUCAGGACAGCCCUCCCGGCUGACUUCCGCGAUACUUUCUGUAUCUCCUUUUCAGUCUGCCCUAAAAUGACAGCUGGACUUCCGACAGUGGUUUCUUAUGUGGGACACAUGGCUCUUAUACUCUGGGUGGCACGGAUUCCUUUAUUGCCAGUGGCUUAAUUUUCCCAGAUCUAUUUCCAUGCAGACAGUGUGAGGUUGGACUUCAUGCCUCAUGCUCCUGAUUGGGGCUCGGAAGUCUAACCCAGCUUCCUGCAGUGCCGCCCCCAGCUUAUUCAAUGCCCAACCUGCAGGUCCUAAGUUGAACCCGCACACUGCACGCUCACCUGGUCUGUGCUGCCAGCUGCAUUGGAAAUGGAAGCAUUAAACACCGUUCUCCACUGUCAGCCACCUGCUAGCUAAUGAGUGACAUCAUUUAACACUGUUUUGAAAAGAGAGAUUUAAAGUUGUUUUGAAAACUGAAGGAAAAAUACAAAUGUUUGAGUGUUAAACAUUUUGCCCAAAUACUAAAAUGUGAAUGUCUUUUUAUUGUGACAGUUCACAGGAAAGCGGGCUAUAGCAUGCCUGUGCUUGUCAAUGAAAAUCUUAGCACUGAGUUUGGUAAACAUUCUGGCAGUCGGGAAGCCACUUAAAAAUAAAGUUUAAAGAAAAGAAAGAGAAGUGUUCACUUUCCUUCUAAUUUUCCCAGAUACGCUCAAUAUUCUGCUUUAUUUUUUAGUAUUUUAACUAAAAUAAGAAAACUCGGAUUCUACCUCUAUGUGUCCUAUGAUUGUUGUUGUUUUCUCUGAUUAUAAAAUACAGGUUUGCAGCAGAAAACUUGGCAAAACAGAGAUAUGAAGAAUAAAAUAAAAAUCACCUGUAGUUCUAAGCCAUGAGAAUAAUCAUAUAUAUAUUCCCUAGGUAUUCUGAAGCAUAUGUAUUACAGUCCAAAUAUUUAAAAACAAAAUUUGGGUAAUACUUUAGAUAGAGAGUUGUAUUCUGAUUUUUUCUAUUAAUAUUAUAACUUUGAAACGAGGGACUUCACCAUUGCUUUUAUUUUUCUUUGCUAUGUAAGUACUUAUGUUCUUUAUGAGGAAAAUAAAAACUAUAGAAAAGAAAGAUAAGAAAAUAAAAUCAGUAAUAAUCCCCUCACUUACAAAUGACUGCUGUUAACAUUUUAGUUUUUUGGUUUCUAUCUAUUUAUGUGAAAUUUGAAUGAAAAUAGUAUAAUUUCGCUGUCUCUAUAUUGCUUGGUAACAUAAUGAUUUAACUGUAUAAUAAAUAGUAUAUUACAUGAAUAUUUUGAGUAAUAGUCUGUGUGAUAAUUUUUAUUCGGUGUGUGGUGUUCCACUACAUAAAUGUAUUAUAGUUUAUUUCACAAAUAAACUCUUAUCAGAAACUUAUGUUGUCGUUAAUCUGUGAUUUAUAAUGAAGCUAUAAACAUAACUUUUAGCUAAAUAUUUAUGGAUACCCUUCAUUAUUUAUUUCCUAAAUAGUAGAAGUAGAAUUUUAUGGUCAAAUGAUAAAGACAUGAUUUUCUUACAUUCAGGAGAUAUUCUAUUAUAUGGCUCUACCAUAAUUUAUUUAUUUAUU